UAAUGUCUAAAAGAAUGUUUGAUGUCUUUAAUAUUAAAAAGCAAAAAUGAGUUGUUACAAAUUCCUCGUCAACAACAAUACUAGAAUCUGAAAAUGAAGAUUUAAAUAUUGGUUUAGACAUUGAUAUAACUACACAAAAAAGUGUUGAAAAUAUUGUAGAUAAAAAUGUCAUUUCCAACUUGGCAACUUUAAUAACAUGCCCCGUGCAACCAAUUUUAACAGCAAGUACAAAUGAAUAUGUGCAGAUGUUGUGAAUGAAAUAAUUGUGAAAGACAUUGAAGUCGUUGAGGUGUUUGGAAUUAUGUGUGAUGAAGCAAAAUGUUACAAACAAGAACAAAUGGUAAGGUAUGUUAAAAAUCUAGAUGUUGAGAGAUUUCUCGGUUUUAUAGAAUGUUUUAAGAAUCAUGAUGCUGGAAGUUUAUAUCAUUACAUAUUAUGGUUCUAAACCACAAAUAGUUGUUUAGUCAUAUGACGGUGCAAAUGUUAUGCCUGGGAAAUUUAACGGACAACAAAAAAAAAAAAAUCAAUAUCCUUACGCUAUUUAUACCCACUGCAUGACUCAUAAAAUUAACCUCAUUGUAAUUGAUAUGUGUAAAUAUGUAAAGGAAACAAGGCAUGUGUUCAACACUUUAGAAUCUCUGUACGUACAUUUUUCUCAUCUGUCAAAAAAUCAAAAAUUAAUUGAGAUUCAAACUAAACUAGGAAUAAAACAUGCGACAAUUAUUAAACUUAGUGACACUAGAUGGAAUUGCCAUUAUAGAAAUAUAGUCUGUGAAAAACAGUUAUAAAGCAAUUAUUCAAGCUUUAGAAGAUUGAAAAUUAUUAAUUAAUUAAUUGAAAAUGAAGAUGAUAAGAGGAGUAAAUGAAGCAAUUGAAAAAAGAUUUUCUACUGAGAGCCGCCAAAUGGCUACAACUGUUGAUCAAUUUUUUCAAUUAAACUUUGAGGAAAGUAUUUUCUUUGUAAAUCAUUAUAAAUAUUUGAUGAAUGUAUCUAAAGAUGUAUUACAGUCAGAAAUAAAAGUGGCAAAGAAUUGCUUAGGUAUUGCAGUUUUCUGAUGAAAAUUAUAUAACUUUUAAUGAGGUGGAAAAGGUUUUAACAAAACAGACUUUCCUUAAUUUAUAUAAACUAUUUUAAGUUGCUUUAACAAUUCCUAUAAGUUCCUCCGCUUGUAAAAGGAGUUUUUCGGCCAUGUGUAGAAUAAAAACUUGGUUUCGAACUUCUAUGCUGCAGGAAAGGUUCAACACCUCAAUAUUAUAUAUUGAAAAAGAAAUUUCUAAAUCUAUUAUUACUAAAACAAUUGUUAGUAUAUUUUCACAAAA
This is a long non-coding RNA of Sipha flava (yellow sugarcane aphid), 1320 nucleotides long. RefSeq lists it as uncharacterized. The transcript is spliced from 6 exons. The record is from RefSeq and is a predicted model, not a curated record. NCBI's taxonomy places the organism in Eukaryota, Metazoa, Arthropoda, Insecta, Hemiptera, Aphididae.